This 327-nucleotide unclassified non-coding RNA is filed under the name Hevea brasiliensis (rubber tree). Lineage: Eukaryota; Viridiplantae; Streptophyta; Magnoliopsida; Malpighiales; Euphorbiaceae. The record is from RNAcentral.
UUGUGAAACUAUGGGCAGAACAAAAAGAACUUUCCAUUCUUCACUCCAAGAUUCCCACCAUGUAUCGACAUGAAAUCAGCAAGAUCACUGCACAACUUUGCAUUGCAAUUGGUAGGGGAAAUUUGUUAGUGCCAAAAGAUGUUAGAUAUUGUUUGUUAUCGACAUGGCUGGAAAGUUUAUAUGACGAUUUUGGGUGGAUGAAGAGGGCUGGUAGAUCUAUUGACAAGAAGCUGGUUGAAGAGGGACUUGGUCAGACUAUUCUAACACUACCCUUGGCUCAACAACAAACCGUUCUGCUUAACUGGUUCAAUCGAUUCCUUAACAAAG